UACGGAGGGUGCGAGCGUUGUCCGGAAUCACUGGGCGUAAAGGGCGCGUAGGUGGCCCGUUAAGUGGCUGGUGAAAUCCCGGGGCUCAACUCCGGGGCUGCCGGUCAGACUGGCGAGCUAGAGCACGGUAGGGGCAGAUGGAAUUCCCGGUGUAGCGGUGGAAUGCGUAGAGAUCGGGAAGAAUACCAGUGGCGAAGGCGUUCUGCUGGGCCGUUGCUGACACUGAGGCGCGACAGCGUGGGGAGCAAACAGG
This 253-nucleotide ribosomal RNA is filed under the name uncultured bacterium. Its description in RNAcentral is "partial 16S ribosomal RNA". It matches the Rfam family "Bacterial small subunit ribosomal RNA", at positions 524 to 776 of the family's 1533-position model. The record is from RNAcentral.